GGCCCGAUGGUUUAGUGGUAUAAUUCUCGCUUAGGGUUUGCGAGAGGUCCCGGGUUCAAUUCCCGGUUGGGCCC
Yarrowia lipolytica CLIB122 is the source of this 74-nucleotide non-coding RNA. The record is from the annotation of a RefSeq genome assembly. Lineage: Eukaryota; Fungi; Ascomycota; Dipodascomycetes; Dipodascales.